This 301-nucleotide ribosomal RNA is filed under the name uncultured bacterium. Its description in RNAcentral is "partial 16S ribosomal RNA". It matches the Rfam family "Bacterial small subunit ribosomal RNA", at positions 509 to 807 of the family's 1533-position model. The record is from RNAcentral.
CAGCCGCCACGGGAAUACGUAGGUGGCAAGCGUUGUCCGGAAUUAUUGGGCGUAAAGCGCGCGCAGGUGGUUUAAUAAGUCUGAUGUGAAAGCCCACGGCUCAACCGUGGAGGGUCAUUGGAAACUGUUAAACUUGAGUGCAGGAGAGAAAAGUGGAAUUCCUAGUGUAGCGGUGAAAUGCGUAGAGAUUAGGAGGAACACCAGUGGCGAAGGCGGCUUUUUGGCCUGUAACUGACACUGAGGCGCGAAAGCCAGGGGAGCGAACGGGAUUAGAGACCCGUGUAGUCCCUGUCUCUUAUAC